AGCGUUGCCACAAUUUUUCUUAGAAGGAAAGGAAUUGGCUCAGUUUUUAUAUUAGGAGAAAAUUAGGUCCGAAAACCGAACAAACAUAUGGUUUACACUUGGAAAAAAAGCCGGCCGGCACAAUCCCACAACCAGAUGAGUGCCACAGAAGAAAAAAAAACUUACAUGGUUUUCAAAAAGUAGAAACCGGCUGCUGGACAUGUAACUAGAAGAGGCAUACCAAAUACGAUUCCUUAUGAACAACCCAUUCCUUCUGCGCAGUUAAGGCCACACAUGGCCCAGAAUCCUAGAGAGCCACAAACAGUCAAACAGAUCGACCUGCUCAAUCUCCCGAUGCUUCCCAACCCAGCUUCCAAGAACUGCAUGCGUUCGAACUGCCGGGCAAGGUGGACGGUCGGUCUACAUCUCCUCCGAUCCUCUCCUACCCUAUUUCUCACGUCCCCCCAUAAUCUGCCAAAGGAAACAGUCGCCCGGCCGAUGAUGAUCAAGGUUACUUCUACGGU
This 503-nucleotide long non-coding RNA is filed under the name Setaria viridis. RNAcentral describes it as "long non-coding RNA (SVIR_LNC002738)". Lineage: Eukaryota; Viridiplantae; Streptophyta; Magnoliopsida; Poales; Poaceae. The record is from RNAcentral.